GCUCUGAGAACACUUCUGAGAGCCUACUAAAAUUGGAACGGUACAGAGAAGAGUAGCAUGUGUGACAUUUUUGUGACAUAUUUCAUAUUUUU
This 92-nucleotide small nuclear RNA is filed under the name Vicugna pacos (alpaca). The record is from RNAcentral. Lineage: Eukaryota; Metazoa; Chordata; Mammalia; Artiodactyla; Camelidae.